Oncorhynchus tshawytscha (Chinook salmon) is the source of this 1622-nucleotide long non-coding RNA. Lineage: Eukaryota; Metazoa; Chordata; Actinopteri; Salmoniformes; Salmonidae. The record is from Ensembl.
UCUGCCCUGGGGAGCAGACCAUGACACCCUUGCUAUUAAAUAGUGCACAUAAUUAUCCAUCCACGGGACAGUGCACAUCAGCAAUGCGGGUUUUGAUGACAUGUCCACAGGAUCGUCUGCGAGCCGCGACACACGUCCCAUGCCCCCGCGCAAACCACUGCUCCCCUUUCUCCAAGCAGACAUUAAAUCACUGAUUCCCAGUCUAAUCAAAUGUCGUGGUCAAUUUUUUGAUAGGCUACAAUCAUUCGUAGCCUAGAAAUGAUCGUAUAUCAUUUAAAUGUCAGAUUAUAUGCCAAUUAUGUUGGUUUUUUUGGGCAUAUUUUGGGGGAGAAACGUGAACUUAUUUAGAACCCCUUUGAGGCGCAUCGAAUCAUAGGCCUACAAUAUUGCACCAUUCAAAGGCUCGUUUUAUAAACACCGUAUCAUCACACCGCCUAUCCAUUAUUAAUAAGGGGUCUGACCAGCGCACCAUCACUGCAGGGAGUGGCAAGGUUACUACGUAUUCCACCUAAUUCAUAAUAAACAAAGAAAUACGUUACAUUCAUCCCGUUCUACAUCAUAGCGGUUUCUGAUUCGAAACGAGUGACAUUGACAUUACGCACAUCACUAUUAUAUUUAUAUUGAUUAUAGCGGCACCUUACCUCUCUCCGGCAUGUUGUAUUUGAAGUCCAGAAUUAAAAACUAGCUCCUCCCCUCGAACAGCACCAACCCUCGCACUGUUCUACAACAUAUCUGGACAUCAAAGCUUAGCUACAAUACGUCGCAAGAUCCCACCGUUUGAGAAAUGGUUUUAGCGAAUGACGUUGCGGAGGAGAUCCCCGUUGUAAGAGCGCGCUUCCCGGUUAUUCCAGUAGCAGCAGGCGUGUUGGGGAGGGAGGGGUGCAACGAUCCGCCUGCCUGCAGGAGGCACACUGCAGUGACAUUGACCAAUGGGAUAACGCAGAAAAGAGUCCCUCUCCGAUUCGUAAAUAUCUCAGCCUCAUCAAAUAUUACAGCGCCAGUCUCAUUCAUUCAGUUUCAAAUGGGUUAAAAUCUUGAGAUGAAAUAAUCAACAAUUUCAGAAAUGUAGGCUAACAUUCUGCAAUCAACCUGACAGGCUAUAAGGCUUAAAUGUUGUUUAACUAGGGAAGUCAGAGAAUACAUCUAAAUGAGAAGAUCCUGCCAUGGAAAAGACGACUGGAUGGACAGGAAGUGGAAAGGAGGGGAAAUAACUCCCACCAUGCAGCAGGACACCUUCAGCUCUUCAGAUGGCCAAGGAAGUAGCACAGAACAUCCCCAACAUCCCCUUCCCAAAUUGAUAUAGAACCUUCACAAAAACACAUGGAGCAACAGUGAAAAGAAAUGGCUGAGGAUACACUAAAAAUGUCUGAGUUCAACAAAGCCAACAACUGCUUCAUGUGUGCCACUGAUAAAGAACCUGGAUGUGGCCCAAAGACUGACUGGACUGAAUGUUUUGCCAACGGUGGUUCCAUGUGCUGUGCCUAGGAAUGAAGACAAGAGUUCAGAGUGAAGAACACAAACUGGAAGUGCAGUCUGUUGUUUAAAAUGUAUGCUAUACCCCAUCCACACUGAAGAGGCUCUGACAUGUACAUCAACCAGGGAUAAAGAGGAGGUUAACACUG